Long non-coding RNA from Camponotus floridanus (Florida carpenter ant), 613 nucleotides. RefSeq lists it as uncharacterized. Lineage: Eukaryota; Metazoa; Arthropoda; Insecta; Hymenoptera; Formicidae. The transcript is spliced from 3 exons. The record is from RefSeq and is a predicted model, not a curated record.
UCUACAAUGGAGGUUUUAGCGCAGUAGCAGUAGGUCGUAGAGGACUUAGCAGUAGUUGUAGCGAAAUAAACCAAAUCCAUUUCCUACGGCGUACGACGUACGUUUUACGACGAACGGGCAUGCGCAGUCACAAAAGAAUGCUGCGUCCGUGAAGUGUGUGGAGUUUGUGCAUAUUGUCAUUAAUGUUAAUUAUAAUUAUUUGCGAUGUCGAACGAAGAAGGUGAAGCAACUUGUGUUGAAUAUUAUUUUGUUGAUGAAAAUCCGUCGGACGUUGAGCUGUUGGAUCAGCGUGAGUUAAUUCAAUUAGUAAAAAAUAACCCGCCUCUGUUCGCCAAAACUGUAAAAGAAUAUUGUGGAAAAGGAUACAACAAAGAUUUAGCGUGGCAGAGAGUGGGAUCUAGUCUCUCAAAGCCCCUGUCAGGACCAGAUGCUUCCAAGUUAUUUUAUAAUAUUCGCCAACGUUUUGGCAGAGAGAGGCGAAAAGUAUUAUCUUCGUUAAAAGGAAAAUCAGGCCAAGGAGCGGUGGCACCAUAUGUACCUUCAUAGCCUUUGUAUGAAGAUUGCAUGUUCUUAGCAGAUCAUAUUGUUGGACGCAAAACGUCAAGCAGCUAUA